UUUUUUUUUUUUUUUUUUUAGUGCUCUCAUAUUUGCUAAUACUAUGUGAUGGUUCAGACACAUAAUGUUUUUGGCUCCAGUUCUAGAAUCAGCUAUUUCUCCAAGGAUCCCUAUAUCCUUUUGAUUAAAAAUGGCAUUAGAAAUGAAGAUUUGAGCACUAGAUGUGCUUGCUGCUGCUGGGUGAGGUUGCUUCUAGGCCUUGUGAAGCUUUUGGAAGGAGAUAUAUGUUUGUCUAAUCCAUGUAUACACAAAUACCUAUCUAUAGCUAUUGUAAGCCACACAUAAGUUCACACUAACAUCUGCAAUUCUAACCUAAUACUACAUGGACCAUUCUAGCCUCCUCCCCAUUGUCUAUGGGUAACCUCCAACUCCAUCAAUGAGAAGUGACUCCCCAUUGCCAUCUACUUACUUGCUGGUUGAAUUCCAGUACACAUGCACAAAGGUUUCAGAUUUGUGCAUUAUCGAUGGGAAUGUGGUGCAUAUAUGGUCCUUUUUGCCUUUUGUCUAAAAGUCUUCACUCAUUUCCAAAGUUGCUUAGCUCAGUACUUUUCCUUCAACUUCUUAGUGAGGAUAUUUCAAGUAUUCUUAAUACCAUUGGACAUUUUUGUCAUAGUCAACAUUCCAUCAUGGAAUCUCCUGAUUAUGUGAUAAUCUCCUAAAUGAUUUUUUAAAAAAUUUGCGUCAAUUGAGGCUCAUUCAAUUUGCAUAGAGUUAUAUGGAUUUUGAAAAAAAAAUGCAUAUUAUCAUGACUUUAACAUUAAGAUAUGCAGAAAAAUUUCUCUGUCCUAUAAACUGCUCCUCCAAGACUCACUUAUUAAUAUCUCAUCCCUUCCCAAAUCCUGGCAACAACUGAUCCAUUGAUCAUCCUUAUAGUUUUACAUUUUCCACAAUGUCAUAUAAAUGGACUCAUAACAUGUAUGUAACUUUUUAAGACUGGUUUCUUUCAUUUAGCAGUAUACAUUUAAGAUUCAUCCAUGCUUUUACAUGGCUUGGUAGCUUAUUUCUUUUUAUUGCUGAAUACUAUUUUAUUAUAUGAGUGAAACAUAGUUUUCUUACCCAUUCACUUACUGAAGGACAUUUUGGAUGCUUCUAGUUUGAGGAAAUUUGGAAUAAAGUUAUAAUUAACACUCAAUUCCAGAUUUUCAUGUAUGUGUGGACAUGAGAUUUCAAAUCAUUAGAUAAAUACCUAGAAGGUUAAUGAGUAUCAUAUGAUCAGACUAUGUUUAGUGUAUUAGUUUUCUACAGGUACCAUAACAAAGAAUUACAAAGUAAGGGGCUUAAACAACAAAUAUUUACUGCGUCACAAUUACGGAGUCUACAAAUCAUUGUUACAGUGUUGCAUGGGUGGUUUCUUCUGAAAGCUGUGAGGUAGAGUCUACUGCAUAUUUCUCUCCUAUAUUCUGAUAGUUUGCUGGUAAUCUUUGGCAUUCCUUGGCAUGUAGAAGCAUGACCUGAUCUUUUCUUCUAUCUCUGCAUGGUACUCUGUGUGUGUGCGUGUAUGUCUCCAAAUCACCUUUUUUUUUAAGAUUUAUUACUUUUUUUCAAAGAUUUUAUUUAUUUACUUAUGACAGACACAGAGAGGGAGAGAGAGAGAGAGAGAGAGAGAGGGAGGCAGAGACACAGGCAGAGGGAGAAGCAGGCUCCAUGCAGGGAGCCCUACAUGGGACUCGAGCCCGGAUCUCCCGGAUGACACCCCCCAGCUGAAGGCAGCGCUAAACCGCUGAGCCACCAGGACUGCCCCCAAAUCACCUUUUUAUAAGGAUACUGGUCAUAUUAGAUCAGGGGCCCAUACUACUCCGGUAUAACAGUAUAAUCAAAUCUGUAAUGACACUAUUUUCAAAGAGUAUUCGUAUUCUGAAGUACUGGGAUUUAGAACCUCAACAUAUUCAGGGGCAACGGUGAGGACAAAAUCCAUAACAUUUAGGAUUUUUGUAUAAAUCAGCAAAUUAUCUUCCCAAGUGGCCAUACCAUUUUACAUUUCCAUCAGAAAUUAGAAAAGUCCUGGUUGCAUUAUAUUCUUGCCAGCAGUUGGUAUUACUAGUUUUUGGUUUUGUUUUGAUAAUGCUGUUGUUAUUUGUAAUUCUGCCAUUCUAAUAGAUAUGUAGUUGUAACUCAUUGUUUUUGUCUUUCUCUAAUGACAAAUUAUGUUGAGCCUCUUUUCAUAUAAUUAUUUGCCAUCUAUAUAUCUUCUUUGAUGAGGUGUCUCUUUAGGUCUUUUUCCCAUUUUGAAAUUCUUGUCAUUUGUUCUCUUAUUGUUGAGUUUUAAGUAGUCUUUGUAUAUUGUAGGUAAAUGUCCUUUAUCAGAUAUGUGGUUAGUAAAUGUUUUCUGCCUAUUGAUGAAUUGUCUUUUCAUUCUCUUAACAACGUUUUUGCAGGGCAAAAGUUUUAAAUUUUAAAACAUGCAAAUUGUCAGUUUUUUUCUUUAAUGGAUUUGCUUUUGGUGUUUUAUGUAAAAACUCAUCAAAUCCAAGGUCACAUGGAUUUUUUUCCCUACAGUCCUACAGUUUCAUAGUUUUACAGUUUUCUCCUAUAGCUUCCUAGGAUUUUUAAAAAUAUUUUAUUUAUUUAUUCAUGAGAGAGACAGAGAGAGACACAGAGACAUAGGCAGAGGGAGAAGUAGGUUCCCUGUGAGGAGCCUGAUGUGGGACUUGAUCCUGGGACCCCAGGAUCAUGCCCUGAGCGAAUGGCAGAUGCUCAACCACCCAGGUGCCCCACUUACUGGGAUUUUUUAUCUGAAUUAUGUUGAAUCUAUAGAUCAAAUUGGGAAGAACUGGCAUAUUAAAAAUAGUAAUUCUUCUAAUUCAUGAGCAUGGAAUAUUUAUUCCAUUUAUUUAUAUCUUCCUUGAAUAAAGAUACUUUUAUUUUACCCUUUCCCAUCUGUAUACAAUUUAUUUAUUUUUCUUGUCUUCCAGGAUGAUAAUGAAUAGCACUCGUGAAAGAGAGGACAUCUUUGCCUUUAUUCCAAUCUUAGAGGGAAAGAGUUUGGUUUUAACCAUCAAAUAUUGUUGUAGGUUAUUUUCCAUAUAUUCACUUGAGUUGAGUAAAGCCAUUCUCUUUCACUCCUGGUUGUUAUUGUUUUGCUGUGGUUUUGUUUUUGAGAGCUGUACUAUGAAUUGAUAUCUAAUUUCAUUAAACACUCUUACUGCUCCUAAUGAUAUGAUAUAUUUUUAAAACUUAAUUUUUUGUUUAAUGUUCAAACAAUGAAGAUAUUCUUAAAAUCAGGAACAGUAUAAAGUUGCUCACUAUUAUCAUUUCUAUUCAAUAUUACUUGAAAUAUCUCCAUACAAUUCUAUACAUCUCAACAAGCAUGUAAAAAAUGUUUUUUCAGUAGCUUAUUCAUAAUACCAGCACCCUAUUAUCUAGAAGUCAAUCAAUCAAAAGAUUUCCUAAUUUUUAUUUUGAGAAUAUUUUAAGACAUUGUUUAGUUUCAACUUAGUUAAUAAAUGGAAAGAUGAUGGGUUUAUAGCUAGGGAGAUUUACUAUAUUAAAGAUGUCAAUGGUCUCCAAAUUAGACUAUACAUUUAAUAUUAUCGGUCAAAAUCCUGAAAUAUUACUUUGUGAAGAUUUACCAGCCAAUCCUAAAGUUCAUAUUCCAAGAGUAAAAGAACAAGAAAGUUCCAUUUUCUGUAAUGGCAGAAUUGAUAAUUCUGAAAACCUCAUUGAAAACAAUUAGAGUAUUAGUCAAAAUGUACUUUAAAAUUCUGUUUGGCACUAUGCUUAAAGAAAGAAGCCAGACACUAGAGUAUGUGUACUAUAUGAUUCCAUUUUUAUAAAGUUCUAGAAAAGAUGAAGGUAAUCUAUAGGGAGAAAACAGAUUAGUAUUGCUUGGGACCAGAGACAAGGGGUUGUUGAGUGCAGAAAACAUGCAGGAAGUUUUUAUUAUGAUAAUAAUGUUUCAUAUCUUGAUUAUGAUGAUUGCUAUACAAGUAUAUACUAGUAUAUUAUAAGUAAUCAAACUAUGCAGUAUCUUAUAUGUAGAUUAUCCCUCAAUAGUUUUUUUUUAAAAUCUAUUUGAAAGUAUCAGAGGGUUAACAAGACAGUAAACAAGAUAGUACCCACUAAAGACAAGGGUCUUGGGAAAGGAAGAGAUACAGUAAAGUUUUUGGAGAAACUAUUCCUGAGUUGCCAUUUGCCACCUCCAGAGAAGGAAGCCAAAAGAGGAUGAACUGACAGCCUCAUAGAAGCUAGAAAGACAAGGACUGAUAGAGGGCCAAAAAGGAGACGAGAGCUAGUAAAUUUCUUUUGCUUGGCAUUAGUAACUGCAUUGGCUAUGUCACAUACAUAAGUGUGAAUCAGAAGUAGACAAGACCUGGGGACACCUGGGUGGCUUAGGGGUUGAGCAUCUGCCUUUGGCUCAGGUUGUGAUCCUGGGGUUCUAGGAUCCAGUCCCAUAUCAAGCUCCCCACAGGGAGCCUACUUCUCCCUCUGCUUAUGUCUCUGCCUCUCUUGUGUCUCUCAUGAAUAAAUAAAUAAAAUCAAGGAAGAAGAAGAAGAAGAAGAAGAAGAAGAAGAAGAAGAAGAAGAAGAAGAAGAAGAAGAAGAAGAAGAAGAAGAAGAAGGGGGAGGAGAAGGGGGAGGAGGAGGAGGAGGAGGAGGAGGAGGAGGAGACGACAAGAACUUUCUGGCGAUGCAGUUCAGCUUUAAGCCAUAUCAGUCCUGGGAAUUAGCCAAAAGUGAGACCAGAUUGCACUCCCAGCUACUUGGUUAAAGUAAAUAUGAACCUUCUAUGGUGGGAGAUAUUAUUGUAAGCCUCAAAUUAUUUUUAUUUAUUUUUAUUUUUUUCAAAUUAUUUUUAGUAACAAUUUUGCAAACACAACAUCCAACACAUGAUAAAUAAUAACCCAGCAACCAAAGUCAUCAAAAACAUGGAAAGUCUGAGAAACUUACACAUACUAGAAGAGUCUAAGGAAACAUAGUAACUAAAUGCAACUUGAUAUUUUAGAUGGGCUCCUAAAAAAGAAAAAGAAUAGUAGUGCAAAACUGUUGAUACAGAAAUAGAAUGUAGAAUUGGUUAUAUGCCAAUGUUGGCUCAUUUUGUCACAAAUGUACCAUACUAAAAGAAGACAUUAACAAUAGGAAAAUGGCAAGGGAUAUAAAGGAACUUUCUACACUGGAUUAGCAACUUUUCUGUCAAUUUAAAACCACUUAAACUAAAACAUUUACAAAAAAUUUCACAUGAAGAGACAAGACCAGUUAAAAAGAAACAGGAGCAAUGACUACUCAAUAGAAAUAGAUAAAUGGUCUCAAGAAAUUGAAGUUAACAGUAAUAGCCUUUAAAAUGACUAUAUAUAUUAUUAAAGACAGACAGACACAGGGAGAGAGAUAGAGUGAAUCUCAAGCAAGCUCUGUGCCAGCACAGAGCCCAAUGCGGGGCUCAAUCUUACCACCCUAAGAUCAUGACCUGAGCCAAAAUCAAGAGUCAGGCACUUAACCUACUGAGCCACGCAAGUGCCCCCAAAAUGACUAUAGUGAAUGUGUUCAAAGGAGAUUAAAAACAAUAGUGGGAUGUUGGCAAAAAGUAUACACUUUUUAAAACGUUUUUAUUUAUUCAUGAGAGACACUGAGAGAAGAGAAAGAAAGAGACAGAGACACAGGCAUAGGGCGAAGCAUCCAGGGACCCCGAUGUGAGACCCGAUGUGGGACUCAAUCCCAGAACUCCAGGAUCACCCCCAGAGCCAGAGGCAGGCACUAAACCCCUGAGCCACCCAGGGAUCCCCAAAUAAACACUUAAAAAAACAGACAAAAGACUAAAGCUAAAAAAUUUUUAAACAUUUAAGCUCAAAACUUAAAUUAAUGAAUUCAAUGGAUGAGGCUUCUUCCUUUAUCUUUGACAUGUAAAGAGGUUGGUAGUCACAUUCCUGUCCCUCCCUAUAAGCAAGAGAAUACAAGCAAACUGCCAAAUCAAAAUCUGGAGUCAUGCAUAGCCAGAGAGAAACUUGCUUGCUUUAAAACAGAAGCUGCUAGACACCCUAAACUAGUAGGAUCACUGACCUAUCCAGCAGUUUACUCAGUUUCUGGAGGCUGAAUGAGGACUAACUUGAGAACAAGAAAUUCCUGGGUCACAUUCAUAGAAAUAUCCCCAUACACUUAUCGACUCUUUCCCUCAAAGAACCACAACAGGUUCCCAAAGUGAAGAUAUAAGAAAAAUUCCCUUGUAGUCAUGGAAAAAGAAAGUCAUUGAUAAUCUCUUCUCCCUAACAAAGACUGACUUCCCUGGGGAAACCUCAUUCCAGCAACAGCAAGGAAAGUCCAAUCCACUCUAAUCUGCCCUAGGCUUUCUGUCUCAUCUACCAAAAAAAAAAAAAAAAAAA
RNAcentral lists this long non-coding RNA (6311 nucleotides) under Canis lupus familiaris (dog). RNAcentral describes it as "lncRNA (ENSCAFG00000052215.1)". Lineage: Eukaryota; Metazoa; Chordata; Mammalia; Carnivora; Canidae. The record is from RNAcentral.